GACGAACGCUGGCGGCGUGCCUAAUACAUGCAAGUAGGACGCAGUUGCGAACGGGUGAGUAACGCGUAGGUAACUACCUAUUAGAGGGGGAUAACAAUUGGAAACGAUAGCUAAUACCGCAUACUAGUAGAUGGACCUGCUUGGUAUUUGGUAGUAGGUAGGGUAAUGGCCUACCUAGGCAACGAUACAUAGCCGGCCCGAGAGGGUGGUCGGCCAAAAUGGGACUGAGGAACGGCCCAGACUCCUAAGGGAGGCAGCAGGAGGGGAUUUUCGGCAAUGGGGGGAACCCUGACCGAGCAACGGCGGGUGAGUGAAGAAGGUUUUCGGAUCGUAAAGCUCUGUUGUUAAGGAAGCGGUACUUAACCAGAAAGGGACGGCUAACUACGUGCCAGCAGCCGCGGUAAUUC
RNAcentral lists this ribosomal RNA (407 nucleotides) under uncultured bacterium. Its description in RNAcentral is "partial 16S ribosomal RNA". It matches the Rfam family "Bacterial small subunit ribosomal RNA", at positions 28 to 526 of the family's 1533-position model. The record is from RNAcentral.